Molecule: long non-coding RNA, 1239 nt
Filed under: Lepisosteus oculatus (spotted gar)
Lineage: Eukaryota; Metazoa; Chordata; Actinopteri; Semionotiformes; Lepisosteidae
Description: lncRNA (ENSLOCG00000021722.1)
Source: RNAcentral
AUGAAAAGGGUGGAGGCCACAAAACAGCAGGAACCCAUCCGCUUCGGGGAUUCACAUGCCACAGCCAAUCACAGGCCUGCUGUUUCUCACCACGCCCCACCCUUCCCAUGGAGGUGUCUCAGAAGACCAGAAAUGAUGUGGCUUUCUUCUCCCCAUAUAGCAAGGAGGCUCUCCUGAGAAAACGUGGACAUAAUUGAAACUGAAUAUGUAGUAGCCCAACUCUGAACAGAUUACACACUCGUCUACAAAGAUCACUUACAGUUAAAAUCACAGACAGAAAUCUGGGCUAGGUGACUUUACUCCAAAAUAUCUGAUAUACUCUAUAGUAUGAACAAAACAAUAGUGCUCUGUACCUCUGGUUGUAGACACCCACAGGGUCCUCUGGUUUUAAUUCCUGCAUGAUCACCCAGUUACUUAAUACAAUCAUUUACUGACUCCAUUAGCUUCAAUUGUCACUAAUUUGAAACCUUUACUCAUUGAACAAUCUGUGUAAACCUGCGGGGGACCAGGUGUGAGGAUCACAGCCAUAAAAUGAAAUCCAAAGAUUAGAGGUCAAAUGUAAAGGUUUUUAUUGAAAGGCAUAUACUGUACUUUUCAUUAAGAAAAUAUGUUAAAUUGUCCUAAAUGCAUGUACUAUACUUAAAAACUGGAUUAUACUGGAUUAUUACAAAAAUACUAUAAUCUGAUUUGUAUGUAUGACCGGAGACUUAUUGUGACUGAGUAUUGUGACAUGGACCACACAGUUUAUCUUUUUUAGUUUACGGUGUCACAUUUUGAUGCUUCUCUUAUUUUGUGAAUAGAGGCUUCCUAAAGGAAAAUUGUAUUGUAUUUCUUUCCAUAGGUGUGCUUUAUAGAUAUGGUUACAUACAGAAAGCAUUGUGAUAGAGAGAUAAGAAAAAAGUUAAAAAGUAGAGUUGAUUCAGACACUCAUCACUAGCCCUAGCCAUAAUGAACAGUUCAAAAAGGCCUAGUAAUACUAGUAGUACUAGUAGUAUUCAUUGAUGAGUAUCUGAUUGUUGAGUCCUUGUAUACAAAAACUAGUGCAUCUGUGUGCACUGCCUUCUUAAUUGUAUUUUGAGUCUACUAAUUACAUUUUCAAUGAGUACUAAAGAUUUAAAAAUUAAAAAAUAACAAUUAUAGUACAUCAAAAAAGAAAACAACAUUCAUAUUAUCAUAUUUUAUACAAUACAUUUCCUGUCCCUAAAAUACUUAUUUUUCACCUCUGAAACAAAGGUUGCC